This 2380-nucleotide ribosomal RNA is filed under the name Cinachyrella kuekenthali. RNAcentral describes it as "large subunit ribosomal RNA". It matches the Rfam family "Bacterial large subunit ribosomal RNA". Lineage: Eukaryota; Metazoa; Porifera; Demospongiae; Tetractinellida; Tetillidae. The record is from RNAcentral.
GACUAGUAUAAACGGGUAGUGAAUGGAUAACUAGGAUGUUAUAUAAGGACGUUAUUAAUACGAAAAUUGCCAAUGAGAAAGAUGAAGGGCAAAGUUCCUAAAAAAGAAAAUAAUAAACCCUAGGAAUUGAAACAUCUCAGUACUAGGAGGAAAAGAAAUCAAGUGAGAUUCCGUUAGUAGUGGCGAGCGAAAGCGGAGGUAGAAUUGCAAAAUAAUAGUCUCUGAUAUAGAAUAUGGAGUAGAAUAAUUUGAAGAUAGGUGUACCACGCAUCUAAGUCUAAAUAUAUAUAACGUACCGAUAGUGGACUAGUACUGUGAAGGAAAGUUGAAAGAGAUAAAAAUGAAAUAGAACUUGAAAUUCGCUAUCUAUAAGCAGACGAAAUCGUCGUACCUUUUGUAUAAUGGGUUCGCGAGAUAAAUAUUUGGCAAACUUAAGUUGAUAAACGUAGGUGAAGUGAAAACGAAUUUGAAUAGAGUACCAAGUCAAAUAGAACCCGAAACCAAGUGAUCUAACUAUGGGCAGUUUGAAGCUUCUAAAAAUGGGGGUGGAGGAACGAACCGGUGAUUGUGGCAAAAAUCUCGGAAGACCUGUGGUUAGGGGUGAAAAGCUUAUCGAACUUGGAAAUAGCUGGUUUUCUGCGAAAAUUAUUUAAGUAGUGCGUCGUAAAUUAAAGAAUCUUCUUGGGUGGUAAAGCACUGAAUGAAUUACCGCAUGAAGGUAGUUUAGUCAAACUANGAAAGUAUAAGAAGAAAUAACGAUAGACAGGCCGUGAGCGAGAAGGUUCAUGGUCGAGAAGGGAACAGCCUAGAUUAGAAGUUAAGGUCGUGGAGAGGCUCUAAGUGUAAAGGGGGUUGGAAUAUAAGUAAAACUAAUGGGGGAGUAGGCUUUGAACCAGCCAUCUUUGAAAGAUAACGUAAUAGUUCACUCAAUAAAUUUAUAGAUCCCUGAAUUAUGGCGGCUUAAGUUGUUAAAAAUAACCGAAACUCUAAAUCGCCUCUCGGCGGUGGUAGCAGAACGUACUGUAAUUAAAGUUUGAAAUAGCGAAAGCGUAUUAUCAGAAGUGACAAUGCGAAUAUGAGUAAAAAACGGCGUGAAAAUCGUUGCUCAUGGCCCAAGGUUUCCAAUUUUAGGAUCUUCCGAAUUGGGUUAAACCGUCCCUAAGAAUGUAUCGAUGGGUAAUAAAUAGUAAGCUUAAAUAAAUUAUUUAAGAGAGGAGGAGACGGUACUACAGACUAACUCAAGUGGGCUAAAAAGUGAUGGUAUAAUUUAUCUUAAGGAACUCGGCAAAUUGUCCCUGUAAGUUCGCAAGAAAGGGAGCUAGUGGAAAAUAGAAGCGGAAGAGCUUAAUUUACCUGGUUUUAGAAAAGAGGGGGCGUCGCCUGUUUACCAAAAACAUAGCUUUCAACUAAGGACCUUUGAGUCUGAAGUAUUGAAGGUGAGGCCUGCCCAAUGGUUGAAUUUAAAAUUGAGUAAUAAAAUAAGUUACUCGACUAAGAACAAUUAAAUGGCCGCGGUAACUCUGACCGCGAUAAUGUAGCGCAAUCAAUAGUCAAUUAAUUGUUGGCAAGUAUGAAUGGCUUCACGAGUGCCCCGCUGUCUCAAGAUAAAUACCGAUGAAAUUGAAUUCGUAGUGAAGAUGCUACGUACAAAUUGUUAGACGAGAAGACCCCGUUGAGCUUUACUGUAAACUUAUAUUGCUUUUUUUAAUUAAUUGUAUAGGUGCACUAUUUAAUUUUUUGGUAAAAAACUAAUAAAAGGUGUAAGUGGGACAGUUUGGUUGGGGCGAUCGCCUUCUAAAGAGUAACGAAGGCGCACAAAAGGUGAAUAUUGUAAUAGAAUAGAAGAAAAGCUUGAUAGCAAGAGUAAUUCUCGAGCUAACACGGGAGAGGGCCCGUGGGUUAUAGUGACCCGUUUGUUUAGGGUGGAAUAACUAACGAUCAAUAAAUAAAAGUUACCACGGGGAUAACAGCGUAAUAUCGUUUGAGAGUUCGUAUCGAUGAUGAUGUUUGCNACCUCGAUGUUGAAUUGCGGUUUCCUGGGGGUGCAGCAGCUCCCAAGGGUUGGACUGUUCGUCCAUUAAAACCGUACAUGAUUUGAGUUCAGACCGGCGUGAGCCAGGUCGGUUUCUAUCUACAAUUUGUUUAGGAAACAUUAGAUACAAUUACAUUCUAGUACAAAAGGACCGAGUGUUUAGUUAUCCGCUGGUGGACCAAUUGUAUUGCUGUUGGGUGGCUACGAUAAAAUUAAUAAUCACUGAAUGCAUUUCAAGUGAGAAGUAAAGUAUCAUUCUGUGUUUCCAAUUUGAGGACCGUUCGAGAAUAGAACGUGGAUAGGAUCUAUAUGUAGUUUAAGAUUACUAAGUUUUUAAAUACUAGUCGU